GACGAACGCUGGCGGCGUGCCUAAUACAUGCAAGUUGAGCGAUGAAGAUUGGUGCUUGCACCAAUUUGAAGAGCAGCGAACGGGUGAGUAACGCGUGGGGAAUCUGCCUUUGAGCGGGGGACAACAUUUGGAAACGAAUGCUAAUACCGCAUAACAACUUUAAACAUAAGUUUUAAGUUUGAAAGAUGCAAUUGCAUCACUCAAAGAUGAUCCCGCGUUGUAUUAGCUAGUUGGUGAGGUAAAGGCUCACCAAGGCGAUGAUACAUAGCCGACCUGAGAGGGUGAUCGGCCACAUUGGGACUGAGACACGGCCCAAACUCCUACGGGAGGCAGCAGUAGGGAAUCUUCGGCAAUGGACGAAAGACUGACCGAGCAACGCCGCGUGAGUGAAGAAGGUUUUCGGAUCGUAAAACUCUGUUGGUAGAGAAGAACGUUGGUGGGAGUGGAAAGCUCAUCAAGUGACGGUAACUACCCAGAAAGGGACGGCUAACUACGUG
RNAcentral lists this ribosomal RNA (497 nucleotides) under uncultured bacterium. Its description in RNAcentral is "partial 16S ribosomal RNA". It matches the Rfam family "Bacterial small subunit ribosomal RNA", at positions 28 to 507 of the family's 1533-position model. The record is from RNAcentral.